Molecule: long non-coding RNA, 1309 nt
Filed under: Eucalyptus grandis
Lineage: Eukaryota; Viridiplantae; Streptophyta; Magnoliopsida; Myrtales; Myrtaceae
Description: long non-coding RNA (EGRA_LNC005343)
Source: RNAcentral
AUACAUUCAACUGAGAGCUUUUCUAUUUGCUCUUCAAUUACACUUCUUGCUUUUCUCACCACCUCUCUCUAUGCUAUCCUCUGUUGUUUUAUACUCAAGGAAGAUGAUGAAAACAAAUCAACCGACUCAACACCGGUUUAACAACUUCGGUUUUACAUCUAACAGACUAACCGCUCUAAUGAAUUAGAACACGUGUAUUUACUUUUGUUUCAAGUCUUCAAGCUCUGCAAACACGUGUGAAGUCUUCAAGCUCUGCAAACACGUGUGAAGUCUUCAAGCUCUGCAAACACGUGUGAUGAGCAAACUCUCUCUUCAAGUCAGUCUUGAAUUUACUAUCUUCAAACGUUUCUUCGUUUCUUAUGCAUUGCCACAGAUGCGAUGCAUUGCCACAGACUGCAGUCUUCAAGUCAGCUUCUUUAACACCCUUAAACCAUCCCACUAGCCAUAUCAAGUUGUAUGUGAAUCAAGAGACAGCAAGCAAGAGAGAGAGAGUGAGGCGAGAGGUGUGCUGUACCGAUAAGAAACGGUAGAGCAGCUACACUACACAGAAUCUGAAGAACCGGUUACAUUUUGCACCAGCCGAACAACACAAGGGUGAUUCUACUUUAUCUAGACAAGACGGCAAGAAUUCAUGGAUGAAGCUAGAAAUGCAGGUCAAUUUAAAAAUAAAAAAAACAAAUUUUAUCACAGAAUGCAGGGCUACAAAAGCAGACCCGGCCCCCAAGCUCACACGGGCUACAACGCCAAGAGCACUCCGCUUGACUCCAUUCCAUCAAUGCAUCAUCCGAAAUUCCACUUUUUUCAGCGUUCAACAGCCUCAUUUAUCAGAGCAAAGCAUAACCCAGAAUUCCAAAACACCCACGACGCCGAUCCAAAUUACAUAAACAACAAACUCAAUUAACCGAAAAAACCCGAAAGAUAACACGAGCCGAACGGGUUUUCCUCAACGGAGCCUGCCGACGUGGCGACCGACUCGGGACCGGAACCCGCAUUGGAAGCACUGCGUAUGCCGCGACCGAAGCCGCCUCGGCGUCCGGGGAAGAGGAUUGGCCGGGAAGCGGCGGCGGCUCAACCGACGCGGUUGGAGCGACGGAGGCAAGACGCAGAGAAGGAUAACCGAGCGGAGGAGGCUCCUCUGGAGAGGGAGGACGGCUUGGGGAAGAGAGCGAAAUCGAGAGGUGCGAAGCCGUGAGAGCUCAUCUCUCUCCCUCCACCAUGAAAAUGCAGCAGCAGCAGCAGCAGCAGCUCUCUCUCUCUAGGAAUCCUGCCGAGCUCUUCUCGCGAGAGAGAAACGACGACGGUGCUGGCG